Molecule: ribosomal RNA, 497 nt
Filed under: uncultured bacterium
Lineage: Bacteria
Description: partial 16S ribosomal RNA
Rfam family: Bacterial small subunit ribosomal RNA
Source: RNAcentral
GAUGAACGCUGGCGGCGUGCCUAAUACAUGCAAGUCGAGCGAACAGACGAUGAGCUUGCUCCUCUGACGUUAGCGGCUGACGGGUGAGUAACACGUGGAUAGCCAUCUAAUAAUACGGGGGGAAUUUCGGGAAACCGGAUCUAAUACUGCAUAACAUGUUGAACCGCUGGAUUCAACAGUGAAUCAGGGCUUGCCUGUCACUUUUAGAUGAUUCCGCGCCGCAUUAGCUAGUUGGUAAGGUAACGGCUUACCAAGGCAACGAUGCGUAGCCGACCUGAGAGGGUGAUCGGCCACACUGGAACUGAGACACGGUCCAGACUCCUACGGGAGGCAGCAGUAGGGAAUAUUCGGCAAUGGGCGAAAGCCUGACGGAGCCACGCCGCGUGAGUGAAGAAGGUCUUCGGAUCGUAAAACCCUGUUAUUAGGGAAGAACAAAUGUGUAAGUAACUAUGCACGUCUUGACGGUACCUAAUCAGAAAGCAACGGCUAACUACGUG